CUCAAAAGCGCUGGGCCACAGCUGAGAACGGACGUGUGCGCGUGUGUGUCUGUGACAAAUAUUUUCCCUAAAAUACAAAUUCUCCUAAUACAAUUGGAAAAUGUAAAGUAAAUAUAUUCCUAUGCUAUAACAAAUAAACACAAAUCAAAAACUUAAUCAAAGCUUAAGCAAACCCCUAACAAAACCUUGACAAGACGCGAGUGAAGUUAAUACUCUUUAGUUGCUAUUGCCCCACAAAAUGCUGCCAAACCACGCCUGAGCCUCAAUCUCAAUCUCAACCUGAACUAGGGCCAUAACCAGAACACAACUGUGAUCAUAGACAUAACAACGAUAGUGGUAUAGUGGUGCCGUACGAAAGCCAUUGGAGAAACCAGGAGAACCAGCGUCACAGCCAAAGAUGAGGGAAUCCGGGGACACAGCCAGCAGCCUGCCAGACCGCAACUGAGCGAUUUAUAGAUCCGCAGAUAAUACCCGGGACCGGAAAAUCCAAAUCAAUUUCCCCCGGCGAUAGCAAUCGGCAGAGGAAAAGGUGCAGGACAUCGGCCAACAGAGCAGCACAUUCGCCAAAAAGGAGGCUGUAAUGACGACAAUUGACGCGAUGUAGCGCAGACUUAUGGUCGGCGAACGCGACAGGGACCGUGAGGCGGUACGCUGGGCAACGGGUGAAUCGACACCGCUUCAAACCAAUAAUGGAGUAUUACAAAUGGUCGGGCAAUUGCAAUGUGGACAGGCUGCUGGCCAGCAACAGCAACAGCAACAAGCGACUCAGCAACAGCAACUCUCGAAGCAGCAGCAGCAGCAGCAGCAACAUCAGCAGCAGCAACUGCAACUCAAGCAGCAACAGCAACAGCAGCAGCAGCAGCAGCAACAGGACAUCCUGUAUCAGCAACAUAACGAGGCAAUUGCAAUUGCACGCGGACUGCAGGCUGCAACACCUGCCGACAUCGGCGAUAAUCAGCCGUACUACGAUACAAGCGGUAAUGUCGAUUGGGAGCGGGCGAUGGGAACCGGUGGAGCUGGUGCAUAUGGUGGCAUCGGCAUCGGAUCUCUACCAGCAGCUGGCGGUGCUGCUUAUCACCUUGGGCCAGCUAAUACCGCCGGCCUCGUUUCUCGUCACCUGGAUUACGCUGAUGGCGGCCACCUUGCUGGCCCAUCCGCCGGUCUUCCUGCUGGUGCUGUGGGAUCAGGAGCAGGAGCGGGUACGGGUGCGUCAGCGGGAGCAUCAGUCACGGGAUCAGGAGCAGGAGCAGGAUCGGGAGCAACAGGGACAGGGACAGGAACAGGAACUGGAGCCGGAUCUGGAUCGGGCGGUGGAGCAGCAGGCAAGGAAGUUCGCUACGCCCCAUUCCCAGUCGCAUCACCAACGCACUCGAUUCCCACAACUUCCCAGCAGAUCGUUGGCAGCGUCGGUGGCGGGGGCGUCGGUGGUGCCAGCAGCCAGUCGAUUUCAGGCGGUGUACCAACUCAUAGCCAGAGCAACACCACCGGCGCCCUGCAGCGGACACAUUCCAGAUCCAUGUCCUCCAUACCGCCGCCCGAGCCGUUCAUGAUAGCCCAGUCGAAGGCGGUCAACAGCCGCGUGUCCAUCAACGUGGGCGGGGUGAGGCACGAGGUACUGUGGAGGACGCUGGAGCGGCUGCCCCACACGCGACUCGGGCGGCUGAGGGAGUGCACCACCCACGAGGCCAUCGUGGAGCUGUGCGACGACUACUCGCUGGCGGACAACGAGUACUUCUUCGACCGACAUCCGAAGAGCUUCAGCUCCAUCCUGAACUUCUAUCGCACCGGCAAGCUGCACAUCGUCGACGAGAUGUGCGUGCUCGCGUUUAGUGAUGACCUGGAGUACUGGGGCGUCGACGAACUGUACCUGGAGUCCUGCUGCCAGCACAAGUACCACCAGCGCAAGGAGAACGUCCACGAGGAGAUGCGCAAGGAGGCCGAGUCCCUGCGGCAGCGCGACGAGGAGGAGUUCGGCGAAGGUAAAUGCGCCGAGUACCAGAAGUAUCUGUGGGAGCUCCUGGAGAAGCCCAACACCAGUUUCGCCGCCCGGGUUAUCGCAGUGAUAUCCAUACUAUUCAUAGUCCUGUCUACCAUAGCCCUGACGUUGAACACCCUACCACAACUACAACACAUUGACAACGGUACACCACAGGAUAAUCCGCAAUUGGCAAUGGUUGAGGCCGUGUGUAUCACGUGGUUCACUCUAGAGUACAUACUUAGGUUUAGCGCCUCGCCGGACAAGUGGAAGUUCUUUAAGGGCGGCCUUAACAUAAUCGAUCUAUUGGCAAUACUCCCAUACUUUGUUUCGUUAUUUCUAUUGGAAACGAAUAAGAAUGCAACGGACCAGUUCCAGGAUGUGCGUCGGGUGGUGCAGGUCUUUCGCAUCAUGCGCAUCCUGCGAAUCCUUAAGCUGGCCCGUCACUCAACGGGCCUGCAGUCGUUAGGCUUUACGCUGCGUAACUCGUAUAAGGAACUCGGUCUACUAAUGCUGUUCCUGGCCAUGGGCGUUCUCAUAUUUUCUUCGCUGGCAUAUUUUGCCGAAAAGGAUGAAAAGGAUACAAAAUUCGUUUCAAUACCGGAAACAUUUUGGUGGGCGGGUAUUACAAUGACAACUGUUGGCUACGGGGACAUCUAUCCCACAACUGCACUGGGAAAGGUUAUUGGUACUGUGUGUUGCAUAUGCGGUGUUCUGGUAAUCGCUUUGCCUAUUCCCAUCAUCGUUAACAAUUUUGCUGAAUUUUAUAAGAAUCAGAUGCGCCGCGAAAAGGCCCUCAAGCGUCGCGAGGCACUCGAUCGUGCCAAGCGCGAGGGCAGCAUUGUCUCCUUUCAUCAUAUCAAUCUGAAAGAUGCCUUCGCCAAGUCCAUGGAUCUCAUCGAUGUGAUUGUCGACACAGGCCACAAUCUCUCGCAAACGGACGGCAACAGCACCGAAGGCGAGUCCACCAGCGGACGCAAUCCGGCCACCACCGGAACCGGAUGCUAUAAGAAUUACGACCACGUAGCCAACCUGCGCAACUCCAACCUGCACAACCGACGCGGCUCCAGCUCUGAGCAGGAUGCAGUGCCGCCGUACAGCUUCGACAAUCCCAAUGCCCGCCAGACCUCGAUGAUGGCCAUGGAGAGCUAUCGCCGCGAGCAGCAGGCAUUGCUGCUGCAACAGCAACAGCAGCAGCAGCAACAGAUGUUGCAGAUGCAACAGAUUCAGCAAAAAGCGCCAAACGGAAAUGGAGGUGCGACCGGAGGAGGAGGAGUGGCCAACAACCUGGCCAUGGUGGCCGCAUCCAGUGCGGCAACAGCCGUGGCCACAGCCACCAAUGCCAGUAAUGCCAGUAACACCGCUCCCGGAACGGAGGGCGCCGAGGGAGGCGGCGAUGGAGAUGGGGGUGUGGUUGAUGACGACAACCUGUCCCAGGCGAAGGGACUGCCCAUCCAGAUGAUGAUCACGCCCGGGGAAGUGGCCGAGCUGCGUCGCCAGGUGGCCCUGGAGAACCUGCAGAACCAGCGGAUGGACAACCUGGAGCAGGACGUGCCCGUGGAAUUCGAGUGCUGUUUCUGCACGACCAAGGAUCGCAUUUGUGUGUUCCACGAUAAGGAGUAUAGCAUCAAGCGGCUGGCCCGACCGCCGCCCUCGCCCAAAAACUAUAUGGCCCUCAAGCGGAUGCUCGAGGAGGGCACUAUCGACAUAUACUAUCUAUGAGGCAUAUACCAUCUAUGAGGCAUAUACUAUCUAUAAGGCAUACUACUAUAUACUAUGGUAGCAACCCAGAUGGGUUUGCCGGGAUGCCAUGGCGAGUGUAUUCCAUUGCGCGCGAAUAGCGUUUAGCCAGAUUCUCAAGAAACCCCGACGAGAUUCGAUAUAGAAAUCGAGAAAUCGUGAAAUCGAGAAAUCGAGAAAUACUUAGAAUGCCGAGCGCAUCGAAUGCGUGACCGGCACUGCGAAUUGCGAUUAGACGUUAACUAGCUUUAAACUACCAACAAAACAAAUUACAACUAAAUGUUAUUAUUAUUGCUACGAUUAUACAAGUACUGUUAUACUGUUAUUAUUAUUAUCAACGGGCCUGGCGUGAUGUGACGUGAAAGCUAAACAAAGACAUAGCGAAUUCUAAGAAUUUAAUUAAAUUAACUAAAGCCUAAUCUACCAUCUAGAAACGCAACCAGGAGUGGAGAGCAAAACAAAGCAAAACAAAGCAGCAUGUGUUAUUAUUUAAUUUAAUUUAAUUAAUUUAAUUUUAACUCUGUACCAACCAAGUGACCGAAGCUUGAGGGCUUGACGAAAGUUUAAAUCGAUUCUUUUCAUUUACACACUAAGCACGUAAUUACAACUAGCCUAAUACCUAAAUAUUUAUAUCCUAGCAAAAUGGCCUAAGCCUUAAUUAUAGUAGCUGCAAUUUGCAAAACGCCAAAUACCAGAAACCAGAAAACCAGCAAAACAACGAAUAUACAUAACUAUGAAAACCAAAUAUACAAUUGUUUAGUUACUGGAACUAUCAAUGUUAUAGCUCUCUUGAUUAUUAGUCGUUUAUUUCCUGUUAUCACUCAUCCCAAAACAAAUUCAAAGAAAACCACAAACCGAAUGAACAAAUUAUGCAAAUAAAAAGAAUACAUAAACA
RNAcentral lists this unclassified non-coding RNA (4610 nucleotides) under Drosophila yakuba. RNAcentral's name for it is "GE20344". The stretch from base 2615 to 2728 matches the Rfam family "Potassium channel RNA editing signal". The record is from RNAcentral. Lineage: Eukaryota; Metazoa; Arthropoda; Insecta; Diptera; Drosophilidae.